This 253-nucleotide ribosomal RNA is filed under the name uncultured bacterium. Its description in RNAcentral is "partial 16S ribosomal RNA". It matches the Rfam family "Bacterial small subunit ribosomal RNA", at positions 524 to 776 of the family's 1533-position model. The record is from RNAcentral.
GACGUAGGGCGCGAGCGUUGUCCGGAUUUAUUGGGCGUAAAGAGCUCGUAGGCGGUUUGUCGCGUCGUCUGUGAAAACCCACGGCUCAACUGUGGGCUUGCAGUCGAUACGGGCAGGCUAGAGUUCGGUAGGGGAGACUGGAAUUCCUGGUGUAGCGGUGGAAUGCGCAGAUAUCAGGAGGAACACCGGUGGCGAAGGCGGGAUCCUGGGCCAGUACUGACGCUGAGGAGCGAAAGCGUGGGGAGCAAACAGG